Long non-coding RNA from Erigeron canadensis, 618 nucleotides. RefSeq lists it as uncharacterized. Lineage: Eukaryota; Viridiplantae; Streptophyta; Magnoliopsida; Asterales; Asteraceae. The transcript is spliced from 2 exons. The record is from RefSeq and is a predicted model, not a curated record.
AAAAUUACUCUUUCCCUCACUCUUAUACUUUCCUUCAAAACCGAAAACUCAAAUAUACUAAAAGGAAAAAAGAUGUGCUGUUCAAGAAAAGAAGAAAACGAUACAUGAUACAUCGAUUCAUUCGAAUAUCAAAUUCCAUAUUUACAUCCUUAAUCCUUAAUUUGUACAACCUAUCUUUGUUCAAAUUAAAAUCAUCCAUAUCCACAAUCAAAAUCUAAUAGCAACUUUAACCAAACAAAUCAUCCAAUCAUUACCAUCCUUAUAUGGGUUGACUAACUCUUGUUCGGAUUAUAUCCCGGUCACAGGCACAGUAGGUGGUGGUUGCACAGUGGUGGUCAGCGGCACAGCAGUAGAAUCAUCUGGGUUAUAUAGAGUUGGAAUAAAGGUUAUAGAAGGAAGAAGAAAUGGGAGGCGGUUCGGUGGUUAUGGAGUAGCGGUGGAGGUGGCCGGUCUGAGUACUUCACAGAUAGAAAAGUGAGGUGUUGAUGUGUGUAUGUUUUUAAAUUUACUAUAAACUUAUCUUUAGUUUUGUUAUUGGAUAUGAAAUUUGUGGAUUGAUUAAUGUUUUGAGAAUAAAUGUUUUAUGAGUAUAUGGUUUUGCUCUUUUGGAAAGAAAAA